Molecule: long non-coding RNA, 1878 nt
Organism: Xiphophorus maculatus (southern platyfish)
Lineage: Eukaryota; Metazoa; Chordata; Actinopteri; Cyprinodontiformes; Poeciliidae
Exons: 4
Source: RefSeq, a predicted model, not a curated record
AAAUGUCCUUAUAAAAUUCAGAUUAUAAAGUUUGUUAGAAAAAACACCAGACAGUCUCGCUUUGGAACCGCGGUUACAUAACCGCUAACAUCCACACAUCCUCGCAGCCGUAGAGCCCGUUUGGGAACCAGCCGCAUCAACCCCAACGCUGGAAAUGGGAACGCUGCCACUUCCUUUUGUGUGAACAGGGAAGCUUAAGCAAAGCAGGCAGAGGAGUAAACCAGAGGGCAGCUCUAAGUGUAAAGCAGCAGUCCCUCCCAGUCCCAGACAGGACUGUCAAAGAGAAAACUGCAGCUUCUGAGCUAGACGGGACAGCAAAAGGAAGAACUCAAGAGCAAAGGGGAACUGCCCCUGGGAACACACUGUAGCAUGCUCACACGGUCUCCACCCUGUCCUCCUCCUCUUCUGUUGGCUCAGGAACUUCUGACACUCAGUGUGGGCUUGACUAAUUGUGGGAAAACUGCUGAGACUCUCACAGCAGGAUGGAUGCCAGAGAGGAGACAGUGGGUCUCCUGAACAAUGUCCUGUUCAAGCUUCAAAGUCUGCCCAGUGCCCACCCUCUGGAGCUGGGAGGCUUCUUCAUCCUCCUAAUCUUCAUCUUUAUGGUGAUUUUCAUGAUGGUGCUCACCUGCGUGAGCCACUGCUGCUGCUGCUGUAAGUCCAAACAAGACGAGCUCGACGUCUAAGGGAACAUUUUCACUUUCCGACAGGUUUUUCCUGCCGAUCUGCUCACCACAGUGCUUAGAAAUCCUGCCUGGGUUUCAGACAUAAGCUGCACAACGUGUGCACAGGAAAGGAGACGGUGCCACAGCACAACAAAACAAACUCUUGGAUUGCGUUCUAGACUAACAAAGCACACCGGUUAAUGCUGCCAGGCCUUCAGGAGAAGCAGCAUUCCUUUGGAGCAUCCCUCCCUGCGGAGCAACAACAGCUCAUCUAUCAUGAGGAGAAGGCAGGGCCGGAAACAACUGACUUAUAAACAAAUACGCAGCACCGAACAGGCUUACAGGUCUUUAAAAAACAACAAGCUGCUCAGUGUCAGAUGAGCGGAAAGCCAUAUGUUUGAGAAUGAUGACCUUGUAUCAUACCUCUGUGAGGAAUAUUAGAAUGGAAAGUUGAUGUUUUAAUUUUAUAAGCAAGUAAAUAAUUGCAUGUUGGGAUACACCAUUAGGAAAAUAGGUUUAAAUUUUUUUUUGUUGUUGUUUUCAGGAUUUAAAUUAAAAUAGAAUCAUUUCAAUGUUUGAAUUGAGAAACGUAAAAAAGUGAGAGAGAGGAAAGAAGGCAGCACAACACAGGAACACAGCUGAAAGCUGUUUAAGGAUCAGAUAGCAAAGUCUCUCGUUCCAAUUAUAGCUCAUAAAGUAAAGAUUUAUGUGGAGAUUUGUCCAGUGAGGAAGAGGAAACCAGGAGAAAUGUCUUCUGAAAGCGACAGAUUAGAGCACAAACAAAACACUCUAUUGAGGAAUUUAUAAGAUCUGUGGUGAGGAAACAUUUUUGACAAAAAAAAGUUACACAAUUAAACCUAAACACUGCUGAACUCAUUUUGUACUAGAACUAUCACGGAUAUGACAUCUGCUACUCUCAAUAAUCAGUGGUUUAAAAAAUAACGGCUGUAAAUUUAACUGUACUUCAUAUUUCUGAGACUUUUAGGCGAUUUGCCUCUAAAAUAAAUUUGCCUUUAAAGUGUUCAUUGAAAGCAGGGAAUAGGAGGCCAAGUCUGCCCCCUGCUGUUCAGAAAUAGAAAAUUGGAUAUUCAAAGAAAGGAAUAAUGUUCAUAUCUGAAACUGUUAAAUGAGCUCAAGUAUACUGAUGUGAGAUUUUAACUGCAUCGUAAUGUAGUGAAGUGAUUUUUAUACAAUAAAAGUUUUUUCUAAAGGA